UACGUAGGGUGCAAGCGUUGUCCGGAAUUAUUGGGCGUAAAGAGCUCGUAGGCGGUUUGUUGCGUCGGCUGUGAAAUCCCGAGGCUCAACCUCGGGUCUGCAGUCGAUACGAGCAAACUAGAGUGUUGCAGGGGAGACUGGAAUUCCUGGUGUAGCGGUGGAAUGCGUAGAGAUCGGGAGGAACACCAAUGGCGAAGGCAGCUCACUGGGACGGUAUUGACGCUGAGACGCGAAAGCGUGGGGAGCAAACAGG
Molecule: ribosomal RNA, 253 nt
Filed under: uncultured bacterium
Lineage: Bacteria
Description: partial 16S ribosomal RNA
Rfam family: Bacterial small subunit ribosomal RNA
Source: RNAcentral